This 941-nucleotide ribosomal RNA is filed under the name uncultured crenarchaeote. Its description in RNAcentral is "bacterial SSU rRNA". It matches the Rfam family "Archaeal small subunit ribosomal RNA", at positions 1 to 922 of the family's 1478-position model. The record is from RNAcentral. Lineage: Archaea; Thermoproteati; Thermoproteota.
UUCCGGUUGAUCCUGCCGGACCCCACUGCUAUCGGGAUAGGACUAAGACAUGCUAGUCGUGUGCCUCAGCCAAAACGAGGCACGGCGCACAGCUCAGUAACACGUGGCUAACCUGCCCUUAGGACGAGAAUAACCCCGGGAAACUGGGGCUAAUGCUCGAUAGGUGAAGAACUCUGGAAUGAGUCUUCACUUAAAAGAGUCUGCGUUAUGCUCGUAGAUUUCGCUUAAGGAUGGGGCCGCGACCGAUCAGGUUGUUGGUGAGGUAAUGGCUCACCAAGCCUUUUACCGGUGCGGGCCGUGAGAGCGGGAGCCCGGAGAUGGGCACUGAGACAAGGGCCCAGGCCCUACGGGGCGCAGCAGUCGCGAAAACUUUGCAAUACACGAAAGUGUGACAGGGCUAUCCCGAGUGCCAUCCGCUGAGGAAGGCUUUUACCCAGUCUAGAACGCUGGGGGAAUAAGGAGAGGGCAAGUCUGGUGUCAGCCGCCGCGGUAAUACCAGCUCUCCGAGUGGUGUGGAUGUUUAUUGGGCCUAAAGCAUCCGUAGCUGGCUAAGUUAGUCCCCUGUUAAAUCCAACGAAUUAAUCGUUGGAUCGCGGGGGAUACUGCUUGGCUAGGGGACGAGAGAGGCAGACGGUAUUUCCGGGGUAGGGGUGAAAUCCUAUAAUCCCGGGAAGACCACCAGUGGCGAAGGCUGUCUGCUAGAACGCGCCCGACGGUGAGGGAUGAAAGCUGGGGGAGCGAACCGGAUUAGAUACCCGGGUAGUCCCAGCUGUAAACGAUGCAGGCUAGGUGUUUGGACGGCCACGUGCCGUUCUAGUGCCGCAGGGAAGCUGUUAAGCCUGCCGCCUGGGGAGUACGAUCGCAAGAUUGAAACUUAAAGGAAUUGGCGGGGGAGCACCACAAGGGGUGAAGCUUGCGGUUUAAUUGGAUUCAACGCCGGG